Molecule: ribosomal RNA, 119 nt
Filed under: Pteropus alecto (black flying fox)
Lineage: Eukaryota; Metazoa; Chordata; Mammalia; Chiroptera; Pteropodidae
Source: RNAcentral
GUCUAUGGCCAAGCCACCCUGAACGUGCCCGAUCCCGUCUGAUCUCGGAAGCUAAGUAGGGUCAGACCUGCUUAGUACUUGGAUGGGAGACCACCUAGGAAGACUAGGUGCUGUAGGCG